UCAAACUUGGUCAUUUAGAGGAAGUAAAAGUCGUAACAAGGUUUCCGUAGGUGAACCUGCGGAAGGAUCAUUACUGAAAGAUACUAGGGCUUUGAGACUGCGUCUAAAAUGGACGUGUGCUCGGCUCUUACUCUUUAUCCACACACACCUCUGUGUACUAUGGGAUGUAAAAGUCCCCCUUUUCACACAAAAACCGAGUUAUAUGCAUGUUAUUUAUGCUCUACGGAGUAAUAUACAACUUUCAACAACGGAUCUCUUGGCUUUCGCAUCGAUGAAGAACGCAGC
This 285-nucleotide unclassified non-coding RNA is filed under the name uncultured fungus. RNAcentral describes it as "partial contains small subunit ribosomal RNA, internal transcribed spacer 1, and 5.8S ribosomal RNA". The stretch from base 1 to 73 matches the Rfam family "Eukaryotic small subunit ribosomal RNA", at positions 1759 to 1831 of the family's 1831-position model. Lineage: Eukaryota; Fungi. The record is from RNAcentral.